CACGUAGGAGGCGAGCGUUGUCCGGAAUCAUUGGGCGUAAAGAGCGCGCAGGCGGCUUGGCAAGUCGGGUGUGAAAUCCCGGGGCUCAACCCCGGGACUGCAUUCGAUACUGUCAGGCUAGAGGUAGGUAGGGGAGAUCGGAAUUCCUGGUGUAGCGGUGAAAUGCGCAGAUAUCAGGAGGAACCCCGGUGGCGAAGGCGGAUCUCUGGGCCUUACCUGACGCUCAGGCGCGAAAGCUAGGGGAGCGAACAGG
Molecule: ribosomal RNA, 253 nt
Filed under: uncultured bacterium
Lineage: Bacteria
Description: partial 16S ribosomal RNA
Rfam family: Bacterial small subunit ribosomal RNA
Source: RNAcentral